GAUGAACGCUGGCGGCGUGCUUAACACAUGCAAGUCGAACGGAAAGGCCGAAGCUUGCUUCGGUACUCGAGUGGCGAACGGGUGAGUAACACGUGGGUGAUCUGCCCUGUACUUCGGGAUAAGCUUGGGAAACUGGGUCUAAUACCGGAUAUGACGAUCUCUUGGAUGGGGUUGUGGAAAGCUUUUGCGGUAUGGGAUGAGCUCGCGGCCUAUCAGCUUGUUGGUGGGGUAAUGGCCUACCAAGGCGUCGACGGGUAGCCGGCCUGAGAGGGUGUACGGCCACAUUGGGACUGAGAUACGGCCCAGACUCCUACGGGAGGCAGCAGUGGGGAAUAUUGCACAAUGGGCGCAAGCCUGAUGCAGCGACGCCGCGUGGGGGAUGACUGCCUUCGGGUUGUAAACUCCUUUCGCAAUCGACGAAGCCUUUUGGUGACGGUAGGUUGAGAAGAAGCACCGGCUAACUACGUG
Molecule: ribosomal RNA, 468 nt
Filed under: uncultured bacterium
Lineage: Bacteria
Description: partial 16S ribosomal RNA
Rfam family: Bacterial small subunit ribosomal RNA
Source: RNAcentral